This 286-nucleotide ribosomal RNA is filed under the name uncultured bacterium. RNAcentral's name for it is "partial 16S ribosomal RNA". It matches the Rfam family "Bacterial small subunit ribosomal RNA", at positions 333 to 615 of the family's 1533-position model. The record is from RNAcentral.
GGGAGCCUACGGGGGGCAGCAGUGAGGAAUAUUGGUCAAUGGGCGCAAGCCUGAACCAGCCAAGUCGCGUGAGGGAAGACGGCCCUACGGGUUGUAAACCUCUUUUGCCGGGGAGCAAGCCUGAGCACGUGUGCCCAGGCGGAGAGUACCCGGAGAAAAAGCAUCGGCUAACUCCGUGCCAGCAGCCGCGGUAAUACGGAGGAUGCGGGCGUUAUCCGGAUUUAUUGGGUUUAAAGGGGGCGCAGGCGGGCUGUGAAGCCGGCGGGAAAAAAUCAGGGCUCAAACC